This 373-nucleotide ribosomal RNA is filed under the name uncultured organism. Its description in RNAcentral is "partial 16S ribosomal RNA". It matches the Rfam family "Bacterial small subunit ribosomal RNA", at positions 527 to 896 of the family's 1533-position model. The record is from RNAcentral.
GUAGGUGGCAAGCGUUGUCCGGAAUUAUUGGGCGUAAAGCGCGCGCAGGCGGUUCUUUAAGUCUGAUGUGAAAGCCCACGGCUCAACCGUGGAGGGUCAUUGGAAACUGGAGAACUUGAGUACGGAAGAGGAAAGCGGAAUUCCACGUGUAGCGGUGAAAUGCGUAGAGAUGUGGAGGAACACCAGUGGCGAAGGCGGCUUUCUGGUCUGUAACUGACGCUGAGGCGCGAAAGCGUGGGGAGCAAACAGGGAUUAGAUACCCUGGUAGUCCACGCCGUAAACGAUGAGUGCUAAGUGUUAGGGGGUUUCCCGCCCCUUAGUGCUGCAGCUAACGCAUUAAGCACUCCGCCUGGGGAGUACGGCCGCAAGGCUG